RNAcentral lists this ribosomal RNA (301 nucleotides) under uncultured bacterium. Its description in RNAcentral is "partial 16S ribosomal RNA". It matches the Rfam family "Bacterial small subunit ribosomal RNA", at positions 509 to 809 of the family's 1533-position model. The record is from RNAcentral.
CAGUCGCCGCGGUAAUACGUAGGUGGCAAGCGUUGUCCGGAAUUAUUGGGCGUAAAGGGUGCGUAGGCGGUUUGAUAAGUCAUCUGUGAAAUCUAUGGGCUCAACCCAUAGUCUGCAGGCGAAACUGUCGGGCUUGAGUAUUGGAGAGGUGAGUGGAAUUUCCGGUGUAGCGGUGAAAUGCGUAGAUAUCGGAAGGAACACCUGUGGCGAAAGCGGCUCACUGGACAAUUACUGACGCUGAUGCACGAAAGCUAGGGGAGCAAACAGGAUUAGAUACCCCUGUAGUCCCUGUCUCUUAUAU